CAAUCGAAGUGGUGACAUCUCGAUGAAUCACAAGAAGUCAGCCGAAGUCAUAGUAGUAUCCCAUCUGACAAGGAUACGAAGGAC
Molecule: non-coding RNA, 84 nt
Organism: Bacillus sp. FJAT-27916
Lineage: Bacteria; Bacillati; Bacillota; Bacilli; Caryophanales; Bacillaceae
Source: Rfam